Molecule: ribosomal RNA, 497 nt
Filed under: uncultured bacterium
Lineage: Bacteria
Description: partial 16S ribosomal RNA
Rfam family: Bacterial small subunit ribosomal RNA
Source: RNAcentral
GAUGAACGCUGGCGGCGUGCCUAAUACAUGCCAGUCGAGCGAACGGACGAGAAGCUUGCUUCUCUGAUGUUAGCGGCGGACGGGUGAGUAACACGUGGAUAACCUACCUAUAAGACUGGGAUAACUUCGGGAAACCGUAGCUAAUACCGGAUAAUAUUUUGAACCGCAUGGUUCAAAAGUGAAAGACGGUCUUGCUGUCACUUAUAGAUGGAUCCGCGCUGCAUUAGCUAGUUGGUAGGGUAACGGCUUACCAAGGCAACGAUGCAUAGCCGACCUGAGAGGGUGAUCGGCCACACUGGAACUGAGACACGGUCCAGACUCCUACGGGAGGCAGCAGUAGGGAAUCUUCCGCAAUGGGCGAAAGCCUGACGGAGCAACGCCGCGUGAGUGAUGAAGGUCUUCGGAUCGUAAAACUCUGUUAUUAGGGAAGAACAUAUGUGUAAGUAACUGUGCACAUCUUGACGGUACCUAAUCAGAAAGCCACGGCUAACUACGUG